RNAcentral lists this ribosomal RNA (467 nucleotides) under uncultured bacterium. RNAcentral's name for it is "bacterial SSU rRNA". It matches the Rfam family "Bacterial small subunit ribosomal RNA", at positions 330 to 794 of the family's 1533-position model. The record is from RNAcentral.
UCCAGACUCCUACGGGAGGCAGCAGUGAGGAAUAUUGGUCAAUGGGCUUACGCCUGAACCAGCCAAGUCGCGUGAGGGAAGACUGCCCUAUGGGUUGUAAACCUCUUUUGUCAGGGAGCAACGCCGGCUACGUGUAGCCGGACUGAGAGUGCCUGAAGAAAAAGCAUCGGCUAACUCCGUGCCAGCAGCCGCGGUAAUACGGAGGAUGCGAGCGUUAUCCGGAUUUAUUGGGUUUAAAGGGUGCGUAGGCGGAAUGCCAAGUCAGGGGUAAAAUCGCGGGGCUCAACCUCGCUCCGCCGUUGAAACUGGCGUUCUUGAGUGGGCGAGAAGUAUGCGGAAUGCGUGGUGUAGCGGUGAAAUGCAUAGAUAUCAGGAGGAACAUCGGUGGCGUAAGCGCUUUACUGGGCCGUAAUUGACGCUGAGGAACGAAAGCCAGGGUAGCAAAUGGGAUUAGAUACCCGCGUAUC